UUCCAGACUCCUACGGGAGGCAGCAGUCGAGAAUCAUUCACAAUGGGGGAAACCCUGAUGGUGCGACGCCGCGUGGAGGAUGAAGGUUUUCGGAUUGUAAACUCCUUUUGUUAGAGAAGAUGAUGACGGUAUCUAACGAAUAAGCACCGGCUAACUCCGUGCCAGCAGCCGCGGUAAUACGGAGGGUGCAAGCGUUACUCGGAAUCACUGGGCGUAAAGAGCGCGUAGGCGGGAUAGCAAGUCAGAUGUGAAAUCCUAUGGCUUAACCAUAGAACUGCAUUUGAAACUGUUAUUCUAGAGUAUGGGAGAGGUAGGUGGAAUUCUUGGUGUAGGGGUAAAAUCCGUAGAGAUCAAGAGGAAUACUCGUUGCGAAGGCGACCUGCUAGAACAUAACUGACGCUGAUGCGCGAAAGCGUGGGGAGCAAACAGGAUUAGAUCCCCCCGUA
This 446-nucleotide ribosomal RNA is filed under the name uncultured bacterium. Its description in RNAcentral is "bacterial SSU rRNA". It matches the Rfam family "Bacterial small subunit ribosomal RNA", at positions 329 to 792 of the family's 1533-position model. The record is from RNAcentral.